This 446-nucleotide ribosomal RNA is filed under the name uncultured bacterium. Its description in RNAcentral is "bacterial SSU rRNA". It matches the Rfam family "Bacterial small subunit ribosomal RNA", at positions 330 to 792 of the family's 1533-position model. The record is from RNAcentral.
UCCAGACUCCUACGGGAGGCAGCAGUGGGGGAUAUUGCACAAUGGGGGAAACCCUGAUGCAGCGACGCCGCGUGUGGGAAGACGGUCCUCUGGAUUGUAAACCACUGUCCCCAGGGACGAAAAUGACGGUACCUGGGGAGGAAGCUCCGGCUAACUACGUGCCAGCAGCCGCGGUAAUACGUAGGGAGCGAGCGUUAUCCGGAUUUACUGGGUGUAAAGGGCGUGUAGGCGGGAUGGCAAGUCAGGCGUGAAAACUAUGGGCUCAACCCAUAGCCUGCGUUUGAAACUGUCGUUCUUGAGUGAUGGAGAGGCAAGCGGAAUUCCGUGUGUAGCGGUGAAAUGCGUAGAUAUACGGAGGAACACCAGUGGCGAAGGCGGCUUGCUGGACAUUAACUGACGCUGAGGCGCGAAAGCGUGGGGAGCAAACAGGAUUAGAUACCCGGGUA